AUAUUAGGGAGCUACCAUUUGAUUUUUAUGGGGGGGCUAGGAUGAAAAAUUUUGUCCUGCAUUUUUUUUUAGUUGUAAUCUCUGUCCUGCCUUUUUAUUUUUUACUCUAUUCGGUCCUGCCUUUUUUUUACUAGUUUUAUCCUGACUUUUUUUACACAAUUGUCAUCCUGCCUUUUUUUUUUACCAAGUUGCUCAUCCUGCCUUUUUUUUUACUCAAAACUCCUGUCCUGCCUUUUUUUUCAAAAUUUCAUCCUAG
This 256-nucleotide long non-coding RNA is filed under the name Mytilus galloprovincialis (Mediterranean mussel). The record is from RNAcentral. Lineage: Eukaryota; Metazoa; Mollusca; Bivalvia; Mytilida; Mytilidae.